CUAAGAAUAUUCCGCAAUGGACGAAAGUCUGACGGAGCGACGCCGCGUGGAUGACGAAGGCCGAAAGGUUGUAAAAUCCUUUUGCCGGGGAAGAAUAAGCAUGGGAGGAAAUGCCCGUGUGAUGACAUGAACCGGCGAAUAAGCCCCGGCUAACUACGUGCCAGCAGCCGCGGUAACACGUAGGGGGCAAGCGUUGUUCGGAAUUAUUGGGCGUAAAGGGCAUGUAGGCGGUUUUGUAAGCCUGACGUGAAAUCCUGCAGCUUAACUGCGGAACUGCGUUGGGAACUGCAAGACUUGAAUCACUGAGGGGGAGAUAGAAUUCCAGGUGUAGGGGUGAAAUCUGUAGAUAUCUGGAAGAAUACCGGUGGCGAAGGCGAUCUCCUGGCAGAUGAUUGACGCUGAGGUGCGAAAGCGUGGGGAGCAAACAGG
RNAcentral lists this ribosomal RNA (429 nucleotides) under uncultured bacterium. RNAcentral describes it as "bacterial SSU rRNA". It matches the Rfam family "Bacterial small subunit ribosomal RNA", at positions 355 to 776 of the family's 1533-position model. The record is from RNAcentral.